Molecule: ribosomal RNA, 1458 nt
Filed under: uncultured Haliscomenobacter sp.
Lineage: Bacteria; Pseudomonadati; Bacteroidota; Saprospiria; Saprospirales; Haliscomenobacteraceae
Description: bacterial SSU rRNA
Rfam family: Bacterial small subunit ribosomal RNA
Source: RNAcentral
GUUUGCACCUGAGUCAGGAUGACGCUAGCGGGAGGCUUAAUACAUGCAAGUCGAGCGGUAAGGUCUUCGGACCCUACUCCGGCGAGGGUGAGUAACGCGUACGUAACCUACCUUUAAGAGAGGAAUAGCCCUGGGAAACUGGGAGUAAUACCUCAUAGUAUUUAUUAACCGCAUGGUUGAUAGAUUAAAGCUGAGGCGCUUAAAGAUGGUCGUGCGUCUGAUUAGCUUGUUGGUAGGGUAACGGCCUACCAAGGCUACGAUCAGUAGGGGGCGUGAGAGCGUGGCCCCCCACACGGGUACUGAGACACGGACCCGACUCCUACGGGAGGCAGCAGUAAGGAAUAUUGGGCAAUGGACGCAAGUCUGACCCAGCCAUCCCGCGUGCAGGACGAAUGCCCUAUGGGUUGUAAACUGCUUAGUGGGAAGAAAUGUAUUCUUUUAAGAGUAUUUGACGGUACCAGACGAAUAAGCACCGGCUAACUCCGUGCCAGCAGCCGCGGUAAUACGGAGACAGCAAGCGUUAUCCGGAAUCACUGGGUUUAAAGGGUGCGUAGGCGGCCAGAUAAGUCAGAGGUGAAAGUUUCCGGCUCAACCGGGAGAUUGCCUUUGAUACUGUUUGGCUUGAAUCAGAUUGAGGUUGGCGGAAUGUGACAUGUAGCGGUGAAAUGCAUAGAUAUGUCAUAGAACAUCGAUUGCGAAGGCAGCUGGCUGGAUCUGUAUUGACGAAUAGGCACGAAAGCGUGGAGCAAACAGGAUUAGAUACCCUGGUAGUCCACGCCCUAAACGAUGUUUACUCGACAUGGGAUCUACGGAUUCUGUGUCCAAGCGAAAGCGUUAAGUAAACCACCUGGGGAGUGCGUUCGCAAGAAUGAAACUCAAAGGAAUUGACGGGGUCCGCACAAGCGGUGGAGCAUGUGGUUUAAUUCGAUGAUACGCGAGGAACCUUACCUGGGCUAGAUCGCGAGUGCCUGUGUGUGAAAGCAUACAUUCCUUCGGGACACAACAAGGUGCUGCAUGGCUCGUCAGCUCGUGCCGUGAGGUGUUGGGUACAGCCCGCAACGAGCGCAAGUCCUAUCUUCAGUUGCCAGCAUGUAAGGUGGGGACUCUGAAGUCCCUGCCGGCGUAAGCCGCGUGGAAGGUGGGGAUGAUGUCAAGUCAUCAUGGCCUAUGCCCAGGGCUACACACGUGCUACAAUGGCCGGUACAACGGGUCGCGAAGCUGUGAUAGGGAGCCAAUCCUAUAAAGCCGGUCUCAGUUCGGAUUGGAGUCUGGAACUCGACUCCAUGAAGGUGGAAUCGCUAGUAAUCGCGCAUCAGCCAUGGCGCGGUGAAUACGUUCCCGGACCUUGUACACACCGCCCGUCAAGCCAUGGGAGCUGGCGUACCUGAAGAUGGUGACUUUACUGGGAGCUAUCUAAGGUAAAACUAGUGACUGGGGCUAAGUCGUAACAAGGUUUAG